RNAcentral lists this long non-coding RNA (2700 nucleotides) under Equus caballus (horse). RNAcentral's name for it is "lncRNA (ENSECAG00000053156.1)". The record is from RNAcentral. Lineage: Eukaryota; Metazoa; Chordata; Mammalia; Perissodactyla; Equidae.
CAAAAAUGAAAUUUUUUGGACUUCUAUUUGCUGAGCACUAAGUAAGUGUCAGGUGCUGCGUUAAGAACUUUAUGAAGAUUGUUUUUAUUUAGUUAUCACAAUAACUCUAAGGUUGGAAUUAUUUUCCCAUUUUACAUAUGAGGAAACAGCCACAGAAAAAAUAAGCAAAAAUCGAGGGUCACUCAACUAGUAAUCUGAAGGGUAGCAGGGAUCUGAGCCCACGUUUGCAUGGUGGCAAGGCGCAGGCUCUUAAUCACUGCACCCUGGUGUCCGUCUGUAGACUUCUAAGCAAGAUAAUUCUGCUUUGUUUGAUAUGUGAAAUAGACUGCCCAACUUCCUACAAUUCCUUCCUUUAAUAUCUUCACAGACACGUGAGGUUAUUUUCCUCCUUCCUGCCUGGGCCAUCCACUCUCCCGUCAGUUACUGUGCUUCAGUGUUUUUCGGUCUUCAGCUCUGUUUCAGCUGUGUUUUAAUCUUUACUUGCAUCAGGUAACUGCAGUAGUGCCUGACAUCUUGGAGCAACAAAGCAGAGGACUCCAGGCUAUGAGGGGAAAUUCUUUCUUAGUGUUUGGAAAAGCAAGUUUUCCAUAGCUUAAAUUUUGCAAUAACAGGAGGCCUUUUGAGUCCAAUGAAUAUGGCAACUCUUUGGAGAAAUAUAAAUUGAUCUCACAGUGCACAUUAUAAAAGCCCAUUUGUCUCUAAAUGGGUUCACGUGAGACAUAGUUUAUUCCACAGGUUAACUUUCUAAAUUAAACCCUUCUCUAAAGUCAAAACACUAAGAAGAACCAGGCUUCAUAAACGAAUAAAGGAUUUUUUCACUAAAUAACAAAAACAGCAUAAAGUUGAAAGGUCCACUGGGCAGAUCCAAAAUGUGGGAACAAUUCAUAAUUGAGGGCCUAAUGUUCCAUUUUUAAAAAAGUCUCUUUGAGGUAUCAUCAGACAAACUUAAAAAUUCUCCACCGCUGGCCAUUUCCAAGUACAGAUGCCAAUUUGACCACACAUUUUAAACAUGUGUCUGGAGAAUUUUAUGUAGCUCCUUUUACAAACUUAAAGAGAAAUAUAUUCUCUGUUACCAAGAAAAUUGGUCUAUUGGGAGGAUUUAGAAAUGGAAAAAAUGUAGAAAAUAAUCCGCAAGUAAAUACGAAGGCAGUUUCUAUUUGUAUCUAUGCCUGCGCUGGUUAUAAGUUAGGCUCUUUUGAAGACUACACAUACACAUUAAGCAUAAAUGCAUUUUGGAAGAAAGAUAAGAAGAAAGAAGCCAUCACUAGAGGAUGGCAUAAGAAGAAAUCAAAGCCAUCUCACUGAGCAGUUGUGGCUAAAGCGUAUCUUCAGCUAAGACUGCUAUGUGGUGAGCCCUGCCCUGUAAAAAGGCAUAUUGAUGGCCACUCAAAGGGACAAGAAAUCAUAAACCAAGAUGAUGAUGGUGGAGCUCAAUUGCAACCAGAGACGUAUGUUUUCCAUAUACACAUAGAAGAGAGAAUGGGAAUUUCAAAAUGAGCAAGGUCGACUGUUGUUGGAAGAUAAAAAUAACCCACUGCGACUGUGGACCAGACUUAUAGGAGUUGGUCCAUGACUAAGACCACAGGUUGGCAGUGGCAAAGGGCAUUCAGCCUGUAGGCACAAGGCCAUGCCCCCAGCACCACAGCUCCUGGAGUAGGAAGGGUGACUGAGGCAGUGACAGACACGGCCCAGAAAAAGAGGAAUGGAGGAUGGGUCAUAAUGUGGGCUCCAGAACAACUGUGUUCUCUCUUCACCAGCACCCCAGAGUCUGAAUGAUGCCUCUGAGUCUCAGAAAGGAUAAGGGGCCUGCUGCAAAGCGUUUAGUUCAUUGAUGGUGGAGCCAGGCUAGAACCCUGUCUCCUCACCCCCACUCUGAUGUUCCCUCCGUUGAACAACACCAACUCUCUGAAAUCAAUAGGCACAGAUCAACUAUUGGAAUGUCAUCAGGAACUAGUCUUCUGGAAACUGUAGGAAAUCUGAUAUGGAUAGAAGAGGAACUCACAGAUCAGAGCAUCUAUGUUGAGAGGACUAAGACUUGAAACGCUACUUCUGAAGCAUCAGUGAAAACAUGACUAAGUUUACAACAUGGAACUAUGAUGGGAGGAAGCUAUUGGUUCCUGAAUUAUUUCCAUGUUAGCGCUUCAUAUUCCUGAUGUAGCAUGAUCUUGGUAACCACCAACAGACCAAAGACUUCAUGUGCUGACUCUCAUGCCUUCCCACUUCACAGAGGAACUGCAGGCGUGAGUAACGUGGCUUUGAGAAUCCUACGACAAACAUUGGGAUUGGGAGUACAUGAAGGAUGCAAGAUAACAGACACCUAAAUCAUACAUCCAUCCCUGAGGCAUGCUCAGCACCUCCCUCCUCUACAUCCAUAGCCACUGGGUUGCUAAAUUCUAUCUGCCUCCUAGGAAAUCUUUUAAAUCAACCCCUCUUGCCUUUCUUGGAGUCACCACCAUGGUCUCUUGCUAGGAGUGUUUAACAGCCUCCUCACUGAGCUCCCUGACUCCCCUUUGUCCUCUUCCAUUUUAUUCUCUAUACUGUCCCAUAAUGAUCUUCCUAAAAUACACAUCAGCUCUUGCCUGAUAAUCUUCAACGUCCUGUGAUUGACCACAAGCUCCUUGCAGAAGAGCCUUUGACGUUGAAGGAAUCUAUCCAUCUGGGUUCUGUCAUUGACUGGUAUUUGCCCUAAAUGUCUCUUAG